GUGCCCGCUUCAGCAGCACAUUUACUGCAAUUGGAACAAAACAGAGAAGAUUAUGCAAGAUGUCAUCCUGCAUAAGGAUGACAUGCAAUUUCAUAAAGCAUUCCAUAUGUUU
Molecule: small nuclear RNA, 112 nt
Organism: Bison bison bison
Lineage: Eukaryota; Metazoa; Chordata; Mammalia; Artiodactyla; Bovidae
Source: Ensembl